This 70-nucleotide transfer RNA is filed under the name Muraenolepis orangiensis (Patagonian moray cod). RNAcentral's name for it is "tRNA-Gly". It matches the Rfam family "tRNA". Rfam says of the family: Transfer RNA (tRNA) molecules are approximately 80 nucleotides in length. Lineage: Eukaryota; Metazoa; Chordata; Actinopteri; Gadiformes; Muraenolepididae. The record is from RNAcentral.
AUCUUUCUAAUACUAAAUAGUAUUUACGGCUUCCAACCAUACAGUCUUGGUUAAAUUCCAAGGAAAGAUA